Vicia villosa (hairy vetch) is the source of this 1518-nucleotide long non-coding RNA. RefSeq lists it as uncharacterized. NCBI's taxonomy places the organism in Eukaryota, Viridiplantae, Streptophyta, Magnoliopsida, Fabales, Fabaceae. The transcript has 9 exons. The record is from RefSeq and is a predicted model, not a curated record.
CCGAGCGCUAAAAUAAAACCCUUUCUGAAAUUUUUGAGCGCUAUUCUUCCCUCCCAAACUCAUCAAACUUCCACCGUACCUUAAACCCUAACUCACUGAAUCCCUAAGUUCUAAGAAUUUCUACCUUUGAAACCCUACACCUUUCCCCAAAUUUCAAUGGUUUGAUAUCUAUCAUUCACGCUGGUUUCAUUCUGGUUUCUGCCUAAAUCGUCGAAAUCGCUCGAAUCGCUCAAACUACAGCCUAAUCGUUCGAAUCCCUCUAAUCAAAUCUCUCAAAUCGCCCUAACCACAAUCUCAUCAUUCGGUUCUCACUCGUUUCAGCAGCAAUCAUUGGAAUCAUUCUCAAUAUUUUGAAAUGUGUAGUUUAAUGCACCGCUUUCAGUUGCCCUUGACUUCAAAUUCGAAGACAACAACUUACAUCGAAGAACAGAGUACAGCUUCGCCGACAAGUGAAACUCAGAAGCAUGGUAAUAUAUGGAGAAAGCCUCAUAAUAAGGGAAAAUUGGUAGAUGGAAGGCUAGUUGCUUCUGAACAAUUGGGGUUCAACGAUUGCAUAUCAUCGUAUGCAUCUGUUAGAGGUUGAGACAUACUCAGAAGAGACAAUUAUACUUAAGCAGCAACUGGAAUGGAAACAAGUCAACAAUUGUUUUAUCCUUGGUUGUAAUUUGUCAGAGAUUUCCCAGAGGCCGUUCUUGUUGCUGCUUCCCUUGGGCAGGGAUGGUUAGAAGUGCAUGCCAUUUGAAUGUUGAUCUUCAGGUCGGAAUGUUGAAUGCAGGACAAGCUCUCAUUUGGUUCUUCAGUUAGUGAUAAGAAUCAUUCAUACCAGCUAGCCUCAAUCAUACUAAACAUUCAUAAGGUUUGGGCCAAGUCGUGGACUUUGGGUGUAACAGGACCAGGACGGUUAUGCGGUUAUAGCUGUAGACGGGCAUGGUGAAUACCAGGUGAUAGUUGAUUCAAGACCUGAUGAUGAUGCUUUUGGUGUUACCGUCGUUCUCGGAAGGCCGUAACUUUCACUUAUGUAACCAACUAAGGACCUAUACUUGAUGGUGCACAUGCGGUUGUUCAGGUUGAAGAUAUUGAAAAAGUUAACAAUGGGGUUCAUUGAUGAGGUUUCCCAUAGUUUAAUAUAGUCAAUGCUGCAACAACACUUGGACGGUAAUCAUGACAUUUUCUCAUCAAUCUUUGCUUUGCAAGAUUCUGGUUUAUUCUUUUGUGGUUUAAUAUGCCACAACACAAUGUAAACAUGCAAACUGCAUCUCCACUGCAACUGUCUCGGAUGUGUGCAGUGCAAAGAUGAAGAUAUCAAUAAACGUGAAAUCUUUGCAGAUCAAGAAUGAUGAUAUCAAUGAAGAUUUUCAGUCAUUCGAAGAGGAAGAGACAUAGAUGAAGAGAUGGGUAGAUGUAGAUGUUUAAGUUUAUUUUUAUAUAUUAAAAAUGUUAUUUUGAAUAUUAAUGAUGGUUGACAUUUGAAUAUGUAAUUUGAAGAUGUUUUGUUGAUUGUGAAUCAAUAAAUUAUGU